This 964-nucleotide ribosomal RNA is filed under the name Enterococcus faecalis. RNAcentral describes it as "bacterial SSU rRNA". It matches the Rfam family "Bacterial small subunit ribosomal RNA", at positions 1 to 952 of the family's 1533-position model. The record is from RNAcentral. Lineage: Bacteria; Bacillati; Bacillota; Bacilli; Lactobacillales; Enterococcaceae.
UGAACAAAGAAUAGACGAACCAAAUGUGUAGGGCGUCUUGAUUCAAGAACGCUUCUUUCCUCCCGAGUGCUUGCACUCAAUUGGAAAGAGGAGUGGCGGACGGGUGAGUAACACGUGGGUAACCUACCCAUCAGAGGGGGAUAACACUUGGAAACAGGUGCUAAUACCGCAUAACAGUUUAUGCCGCAUGGCAUAAGAGUGAAAGGCGCUUUCGGGUGUCGCUGAUGGAUGGACCCGCGGUGCAUUAGCUAGUUGGUGAGGUAACGGCUCACCAAGGCCACGAUGCAUAGCCGACCUGAGAGGGUGAUCGGCCACACUGGGACUGAGACACGGCCCAGACUCCUACGGGAGGCAGCAGUAGGGAAUCUUCGGCAAUGGACGAAAGUCUGACCGAGCAACGCCGCGUGAGUGAAGAAGGUUUUCGGAUCGUAAAACUCUGUUGUUAGAGAAGAACAAGGACGUUAGUAACUGAACGUCCCCUGACGGUAUCUAACCAGAAAGCCACGGCUAACUACGUGCCAGCAGCCGCGGUAAUACGUAGGUGGCAAGCGUUGUCCGGAUUUAUUGGGCGUAAAGCGAGCGCAGGCGGUUUCUUAAGUCUGAUGUGAAAGCCCCCGGCUUAACCGGGGAGGGUCAUUGGAAACUGGGAGACUUGAGUGCAGAAGAGGAGAGUGGAAUUCCAUGUGUAGCGGUGAAAUGCGUAGAUAUAUGGAGGAACACCAGUGGCGAAGGCGGCUCUCUGGUCUGUAACUGACGCUGAGGCUCGAAAGCGUGGGGAGCAAACAGGAUUAGAUACCCUGGUAGUCCACGCCGUAAACGAUGAGUGCUAAGUGUUGGAGGGUUUCCGCCCUUCAGUGCUGCAGCAAACGCAUUAAGCACUCCGCCUGGGGAGUACGACCGCAAGGUUGAAACUCAAAGGAAUUGACGGGGGCCCGCACAAGCGGUGGAGCAUGUGGUUUAAUUC